This 1258-nucleotide long non-coding RNA is filed under the name Mus spretus (western wild mouse). RNAcentral's name for it is "lncRNA (ENSMSPG00010043271.1)". Lineage: Eukaryota; Metazoa; Chordata; Mammalia; Rodentia; Muridae. The record is from RNAcentral.
AGUUCAAUAUGCUUUAUAUGAAAGGUCCAGAGAAGGAACUGCCAUGCUGAGGAUUAUUUGCUUGUGGGUGUGUAUAUGUUAUUUGGAGGCAUUCACUGGACUCACAAGACUCUUUCUAAAGAUAUGGCCUUGGGAUGCAGCCCAGCUUCGAACUUAUGCUCCACCUCCGACUUCCUCCCAGGUGCUGGGGUUGUAAGUAUGCAGCACCACGCCCAGCCAUUUUUGUUUGUUAAAGUUCCCACCAUUCAGAGAAGCAUCUGAAUGGCUCUGGCCCCGAGGCCGCUGGGGCUCCUGUGCUCAGUGUCAACGCAGGAGAUCAAGUCUGUCUGAAGUUAGAAGAACGAGAACAGAGAAAACUGGCUCCAGGCAGGGUGGUGCACUGAAGCUGGGGAAAGGCAGUUAAGUCCAGAAUCUAUCUGAAGGUGCAUCCACACCCCACACCUAGAUCAGAUGUAGUUGUAAGAGCAAGAGAGGUGUGUGGAAGGACUGGGGUGUCAGUCUGAACAAAUGGAAGAGAGCUUCACUAUGGAAGUCAUUCACUCACUCAUUCAUUCAUUCAUUCAUUCAUUCAUUCAAUUUAUCAAUCGAAUCACAUUAUCUAGUGUGUGCAUGUGCGACAAGAGGAUAAUUUGUGGAAGUCAGUUCUCUCCUUAGACCAUAUGGGUCUUGGUGAUGGAAUUCAGGCUGCCUGGUUUGGCAGCAGGUGCCUUUACCCACUGGGCCAUCUCCACUAUCCCGUGGCUGUUAUUCCUAAUGAAUGGAUCAACUACUGCAUGAAAAUAUAAGGCACAGCCAUUACUCACCAGGUACUAGCGCUCGCCCCCUUCCACAUGCUGUAGGAAUAGUCAGCGUUUCUGUAGGACAUGACGCUCACCACCCCUGAGAGGAACCAGAACAGAAGAACACAGCCCUUCACUUCCUGGGCAUGCUGGAUGGGCCUGGUGAGCCCUCUGUGGUGUGGCCAACACUGGGCUUCUCACAGGAACUGUGUGAACUACUUGAGCUGGGAAUCAAAUAGAACAUUCUGCUCCCAUUCAGAGAGGAUGGGAGAGCCCUGCAGAGUCUGGAGACAGGUGUCUUGGUUUGCAUGCAAGUAUUUUGGUAAGUUAAGCCAAAAUGCCUCAAAAAGAGAACAUGCCAUGGUUUUUCUUUCUUGUUAAAAUUCUUUAUAAGUAAUCAUAUAUGUGUAAUUCUUAACAAUUUAAAUAAAUAUUAUGUUCAAUAAGAUAUUUGCUUAGAAUUCUGAAAAAUGAUGUAU